RNAcentral lists this ribosomal RNA (306 nucleotides) under uncultured bacterium. Its description in RNAcentral is "partial 16S ribosomal RNA". It matches the Rfam family "Bacterial small subunit ribosomal RNA", at positions 507 to 809 of the family's 1533-position model. The record is from RNAcentral.
GACAGCAGUAGCCGCGGUAAUGCGGAGGGGGCUAGCGUUGUUCGGAAUUACUGGGCGUAAAGCGCACGUAGGCUGCUUUGUAAGUCAGAGGUGAAAGCCCGGGGCUCAACCCCGGAUGUGCCUCUGAGACUGCAGGGCUAGAACGUCGGAGAGGUGAGUGGAAUUCCGAGUGUAGAGGUGAAAUUCGUAGAUAUUCGGAAGAACACCAGUGGCGAAGGCGGCUCACUGGACGACUGUUGACGCUGAGGUGCGAAAGCGUGGGGAGCAAACAGGAUUAGAUACCCGUGUAGUCCUGUCUCUUAUACA